AUAGGGGAGCCGCAGGGAAACCGAGUCUUAACUGGGCGAAUUAGUUGCAGGGUAUAGACCCGAAACCCGGUGAUCUAGCCAUGGGCAGGUUGAAGGUUGGGUAACACUAACUGGAGGACCGAACCGACUAAUGUUGAAAAAUUAGCGGAUGACUUGUGGCUGGGGGUGAAAGGCCAAUCAAACCGGGAGAUAGCUGGUUCUCCCCGAAAGCUAUUUAGGUAGCGCCUCGUGAACUCAUCUCCGGGGGUAGAGCACUGUUUCGGCUAGGGGGUCAUCCCGACUUACCAACCCGAUGCAAACUGCGAAUACCGGAGAAUGUUAUCACGGGAGACACACGGCGGGUGCUAACGUUCGUCGUGAAGAGGGAAACAACCCAGACCGCCGGCUAAGGUCCCAAAGUCAUAAUUAAGUGGGAAACGAAGUGGGAAGGCUCAGACAGCCAGGAUGUUGGCUUAGAAGCAGCCAUCAUUUAAAGAAAGCGUAAUAGCUCACUGGUCGAGUCGGCCUGCGCGGAAGAUGUAACGGGGCUAAAUUAUGCACCGAAGCCGCGGCAGCGAUAUGUAAAUAUUGUUGGGUAGGGGAGCGUUCUGUAAGCCUGUGAAGGUGGCCUGUGAGGGCUGCUGGAGGUAUCAGAAGUGCGAAUGCUGACAUAAGUAACGAUAAUGCGGGUGAAAAACCCGCACGCCGGAAGACCAAGGGUUCCUGUCCAACGUUAAUCGGGGCAGGGUGAGUCGACCCCUAAGGCGAGGCUGAAAAGCGUAGUCGAUGGGCAACGGGUUAAUAUUCCCGUACUGGUGGUAACUGCGAAGGGGGGACGGAGAAAGCUAAAUCAUCCGGGCGACGGUUGUCCCGGUUUAAGCGUGCAGGUGGACUGACCAGGCAAAUCCGGUCGGUUGUUAACACUGAGGCGUGACGACGAGCCACUACGGUGGUGAAGUGAUUGAUGCUCUGCUUCCGGGAAAAGCCUCUAAGCUCCAGGUUACCAUUAAUCGUACCCCAAACCGACACAGGUGGUCAGGUAGAGAAUACUCAGGCGCUUGAGAGAACUCGGGUGAAGGAACUAGGCAAAAUGGUGCCGUAACUUCGGGAGAAGGCACGCUGGCAUUAGGUGAAGUGGUUUACCCACGGAGCUGAAGCCAGCCGCAGAUACCAGCUGGCUGCAACUGUUUAUUAAAAACACAGCACUGUGCAAACACGAAAGUGGACGUAUACGGUGUGACGCCUGCCCGGUGCCGGAAGGUUAAUUGAUGAGGUCAGCCGCAAGGCGAAGCUUCUGAUCGAAGCCCCGGUAAACGGCGGCCGUAACUAUAACGGUCCUAAGGUAGCGAAAUUCCUUGUCGGGUAAGUUCCGACCUGCACGAAUGGCGUAAUGAUGGCCAGGCUGUCUCCACCCGAGACUCAGUGAAAUUGAACUCGCUGUGAAGAUGCAGUGUACCCGCGGCAAGACGGAAAGACCCCGUGAACCUUUACUAUAGCUUGACACUGAACAUUGAGCCUUGAUGUGUAGGAUAGGUGGGAGGCAACGAAGUGUGGACGCCAGUCUGCACGGAGCCAUCCUUGAAAUACCACCCUUUAACGUUUGAUGUUCUAACCCGGGUCCAUAAUCUGGAUCGGGGACCGUGUCUGGUGGGUAGUUUGACUGGGGCGGUCUCCUCCCAAAGAGUAACGGAGGAGCACGAAGGUUGGCUAAGCAUGGUCGGACAUCAUGCGGUUAGUGCAAAGGCAUAAGCCAGCUUGACUGCGAGAGUGACGGCUCGAGCAGGUACGAAAGUAGGUCUUAGUGAUCCGGUGGUUCUGAAUGGAAGGGCCAUCGCUCAACGGAUAAAAGGUACUCCGGGGAUAACAGGCUGAUACCGCCCAAGAGUUCAUAUCGACGGCGGUGUUUGGCACCUCGAUGUCGGCUCAUCACAUCCUGGGGCUGAAGUAGGUCCCAAGGGUAUGGCUGUUCGCCAUUUAAAGUGGUACGCGAGCUGGGUUUAGAACGUCGUGAGACAGUUCGGUCCCUAUCUGCCGUGGGCGCUGGAAGAUUGAGAGGGGUUGCUCCUAGUACGAGAGGACCGGAGUGAACGCACCACUGGUGUACGGGUUGUGAUGCCAAUUGCAUUGCCCGGUAGCUAAGUGCGGAAGAGAUAACCGCUGAAAGCAUCUAAGCGGGAAACUUGCCUCGAGAUGAGUCUUCCCUGACCCUUUAAGGGUCCUGAAGGAACGUUUGAGACUAAGACGUUGAUAGGCUGGGUGUGUAAGCGCAGCGAUGCGUUGAGCUGACCAGUACUAAUGAACCGUGAGGCUUAACCUG
RNAcentral lists this ribosomal RNA (2296 nucleotides) under Morganella morganii. RNAcentral describes it as "partial 23S ribosomal RNA". It matches the Rfam family "Bacterial large subunit ribosomal RNA", at positions 657 to 2925 of the family's 2925-position model. Lineage: Bacteria; Pseudomonadati; Pseudomonadota; Gammaproteobacteria; Enterobacterales; Morganellaceae. RNAcentral also lists the same sequence under 1 other name. The record is from RNAcentral.